RNAcentral lists this ribosomal RNA (305 nucleotides) under uncultured bacterium. RNAcentral describes it as "partial 16S ribosomal RNA". It matches the Rfam family "Archaeal small subunit ribosomal RNA", at positions 455 to 760 of the family's 1478-position model. The record is from RNAcentral.
ACAGCAGUAGCCACGGUAACACCAGCACCUCGAGUGGUCAGGAGGUUUAUUGGGCCUAAAGCAUCCGUAGCCGGUUGCAUAAGUUUUCGGUUAAAUCUAUGCGCUUAACGUAUAGGCCGCCGAAAAUACUGUGCAGCUAGGGAGUGGGAGAGGUACACGGUACUCGAUAGGAAGGGGUAAAAUCCUUUGAUCUAUUGAUGACCACCUGUGGCGAAGGCGGUGUACCAGAACACGUUCGACGGUGAGGGAUGAAAGCUGGGGGAGCAAACCGGAUUAGAUACCCGCGUAGUCCCUGUCUCUUAUAA